UCAGACGAACGCUGGCGGCGUGCCUAAUACAUGCAAGUCGAACGAACUCUGGUAUUGAUUGGUGCUUGCAUCAUGAUUUACAUUUGAGUGAGUGGCGAACUGGUGAGUAACACGUGGGAAACCUGCCCAGAAGCGGGGGAUAACACCUGGAAACAGAUGCUAAUACCGCAUAACAACUUGGACCGCAUGGUCCGAGUUUGAAAGAUGGCUUCGGCUAUCACUUUUGGAUGGUCCCGCGGCGUAUUAGCUAGAUGGUGGGGUAACGGCUCACCAUGGCAAUGAUACGUAGCCGACCUGAGAGGGUAAUCGGCCACAUUGGGACUGAGACACGGCCCAAACUCCUACGGGAGGCAGCAGUAGGGAAUCUUCCACAAUGGACGAAAGUCUGAUGGAGCAACGCCGCGUGAGUGAAGAAGGGUUUCGGCUCGUAAAACUCUGUUGUUAAAGAAGAACAUAUCUGAGAGUAACUGUUCAGGUAUUGACGGUAUUUAACCAGAAAGCCACGGCUAACUACGUGCCAGCAGCCGCGGUAAUACGUAGGUGGCAAGCGUUGUCCGGAUUUAUUGGGCGUAAAGCGAGCGCAGGCGGUUUUUUAAGUCUGAUGUGAAAGCCUUCGGCUCAACCGAAGAAGUGCAUCGGAAACUGGGAAACUUGAGUGCAGAAGAGGACAGUGGAACUCCAUGUGUAGCGGUGAAAUGCGUAGAUAUAUGGAAGAACACCAGUGGCGAAGGCGGCUGUCUGGUCUGUAACUGACGCUGAGGCUCGAAAGUAUGGGUAGCAAACAGGAUUAGAUACCCUGGUAGUCCAUACCGUAAACGAUGAAUGCUAAGUGUUGGAGGGUUUCCGCCCUUCAGUGCUGCAGCUAACGCAUUAAGCAUUCCGCCUGGGGAGUACGGCCGCAAGGCUGAAACUCAAAGGAAUUGACGGGGGCCCGCACAAGCGGUGGAGCAUGUGGUUUAAUUCGAAGCUACGCGAAGAACCUUACCAGGUCUUGACAUACUAUGCAAAUCUAAGAGAUUAGACGUUCCCUUCGGGGACAUGGAUACAGGUGGUGCAUGGUUGUCGUCAGCUCGUGUCGUGAGAUGUUGGGUUAAGUCCCGCAACGAGCGCAACCCUUAUUAUCAGUUGCCAGCAUUAAGUUGGGCACUCUGGUGAGACUGCCGGUGACAAACCGGAGGAAGGUGGGGAUGACGUCAAAUCAUCAUGCCCCUUAUGACCUGGGCUACACACGUGCUACAAUGGAUGGUACAACGAGUUGCGAACUCGCGAGAGUAAGCUAAUCUCUUAAAGCCAUUCUCAGUUCGGAUUGUAGGCUGCAACUCGCCUACAUGAAGUCGGAAUCGCUAGUAAUCGCGGAUCAGCAUGCCGCGGUGAAUACGUUCCCGGGCCUUGUACACACCGCCCGUCACACCAUGAGAGUUUGUAACACCCAAAGUCGGUGGGGUAACCUUUUAGGAACCAGCCGCCUAAGGUGGGACAGAUGAUUAGGGUGAAGUC
Molecule: ribosomal RNA, 1497 nt
Filed under: Lactiplantibacillus pentosus
Lineage: Bacteria; Bacillati; Bacillota; Bacilli; Lactobacillales; Lactobacillaceae
Description: bacterial SSU rRNA
Rfam family: Bacterial small subunit ribosomal RNA
Source: RNAcentral